GACGAACGCUGGCGGCGUGCCUAACACAUGCAAGUCGAACGAGGUCCAUCUGGUGGCAACACCAGUGAAGACCUAGUGGCGAACGGGUGAGUAACACGUGAGGAACCUGCCCCGAAGACCGGGAUAACUCUCCGAAAGGAGUGCUAAUACCGGAUACCCCCCACCGAGCCGCAUGGUUUGGUGAGGAAAUGGAUUCCGCUUCGGGAGGGCCUCGCGGCCUAUCAGCUAGUUGGUGGGGUAACGCCCACCAAGGCAUCGACGGGUAGCUGGUCUGAGAGGACGAUCAGCCACACUGGGACUGAGACACGGCCCAGACUCCUACGGGAGGCAGCAGUGGGGAAUCUUGCGCAAUGGGCGAAAGCCUGACGCAGCAACGCCGCGUGGGGGAUGAAGGGCUCUCGGGUUGUAAACCCUUUCAGCCAGGGACGAAUCAAGACGGUACCUGCAGAAGAAGCCCCGGUAACUACGUG
This 470-nucleotide ribosomal RNA is filed under the name uncultured bacterium. Its description in RNAcentral is "bacterial SSU rRNA". It matches the Rfam family "Bacterial small subunit ribosomal RNA", at positions 28 to 507 of the family's 1533-position model. The record is from RNAcentral.